Molecule: microRNA, 23 nt
Filed under: Aedes aegypti (yellow fever mosquito)
Lineage: Eukaryota; Metazoa; Arthropoda; Insecta; Diptera; Culicidae
Description: Aae-Mir-216-P1_3p* (star (passenger))
Source: RNAcentral
CGGAAUUCCAACUGAUAUCCACU